This 73-nucleotide transfer RNA is filed under the name Dactylosporangium siamense. Its description in RNAcentral is "tRNA-Pyl". It matches the Rfam family "tRNA". From Rfam's summary of the family: Transfer RNA (tRNA) molecules are approximately 80 nucleotides in length. Their secondary structure includes four short double-helical elements and three loops (D, anti-codon, and T loops). The record is from RNAcentral. Lineage: Bacteria; Bacillati; Actinomycetota; Actinomycetes; Micromonosporales; Micromonosporaceae.
GCCUCAGAAGCCCGACGGCCGGGCAGCUGUCUCUAAAACAGCCCGUAGCGGGUUCGACUCCCGUCUGAGGCGC